Molecule: ribosomal RNA, 268 nt
Filed under: Methanothrix sp.
Lineage: Archaea; Methanobacteriati; Methanobacteriota; Methanomicrobia; Methanotrichales; Methanotrichaceae
Description: partial 23S ribosomal RNA
Rfam family: Bacterial large subunit ribosomal RNA
Source: RNAcentral
AUUUGAGAGGAGCUGUCCUUAGUACGAGAGGACCGGGAUGGACGGACCUCUGGUGUUCCGGUUGUCAUGCCAAUGGCAAUGCCGGGUAGCUAUGUGCGGAGAGGAUAACCGCUGAAGGCAUCUAAGCGGGAAGCCCACCCCAAGAUGAGAUCUCCCAGGGAGCAAUCCCUCUAAAGGUCUGUGGUAGACUACCACGUCGAUAGGCUGGAGGUGUAAGCGCAGUAAUGCGUUCAGCUGACCAGUACUAAUUGACCGUGUGUCUUGACCC